AUUUUCGCCUCCCAUUUGCUACGUGGGCAGACGGCAAUUGGUCGAUCCAUCAUCAUUCGGCAACUGCAACCAAUCAGAGAUGCCUCGUCCAGAACCACUGGGGAAGUGUCGCCCUCUGGAUAAACUACUUCUGAUACAUUACCGGGCUACAAUUUGAGUGUCAUUUACACUGGAAAUAAUUAUAUUAGUGGCUUUGACUUGCAUUUCUGACCGAUUAUUCGCUGUAAUAUUUUCUGGUCUUUCUUGUAAAGUUAUAACCUUUUCACAAUUACUUAAUUUCAUUAGUAGAGUUAAUCUGAACUUCCAUUUGUGAUAGUCUUUGCCGUCAAAAACCAGCACUUUUGCUUUGAACAUUGCCAUGAUUUAAUAAAAUUAUUUAGGAGAAAACAUUGCCAUGAUUUAAUAAAAUUAUUUAGGAGAAAACGUCAAGAAUUAAUGCUCACACAAACCAGAUAGGUAUGCAAUGGAGAGAGAAAAAUUGCUACCUACUUAUAUCACUACUUUAUGAGGUAAUUGGGAUAUGCUUAGUCAUUAAGUAUUGUUCAUAAUAAAUGAAGUUUUGUACCUUCAUAA
Molecule: non-coding RNA, 573 nt
Organism: Bemisia tabaci
Lineage: Eukaryota; Metazoa; Arthropoda; Insecta; Hemiptera; Aleyrodidae
Source: RefSeq, a predicted model, not a curated record